Molecule: unclassified non-coding RNA, 290 nt
Filed under: Russula foetens
Lineage: Eukaryota; Fungi; Basidiomycota; Agaricomycetes; Russulales; Russulaceae
Description: partial internal transcribed spacer region
Rfam family: Eukaryotic small subunit ribosomal RNA (bases 1-46)
Source: RNAcentral
AAGUCGUAACAAGGUUUCCGUAGGUGAACCUGCGGAAGGAUCAUUAUCGUACAAUAGAGGUGCUGGGGUUGUCGCUGACUUUUGAAAGGGUCGUGCACACCUCGGUGCUCUCGCACACAAUCCAUCUCACCCCCUUUGUGCAUCACCGCGUGGGGACCCCUUUUGGCUAGUUCCGAGGGGGGUUUUCACGUUUUUACAAAGACACCCUUUUAAUGCAAUGUGUAGAAUGUCUUACUUUUUGCGAUCACACGCAAUCAAUACAACUUUCAACAACGGAUCUCUUGGCUCUC